Molecule: ribosomal RNA, 253 nt
Filed under: uncultured bacterium
Lineage: Bacteria
Description: partial 16S ribosomal RNA
Rfam family: Bacterial small subunit ribosomal RNA
Source: RNAcentral
CACGUAGGGCGCAAGCGUUGUCCGGAAUUAUUGGGCGUAAAGAGCUCGUAGGCGGCGCGGUAAGUCGGGUGUGAAAUCUCGGAGCUUAACUCCGAAACUGCAUUCGAUACUGCCGUGCUUGAGGACUGGAGAGGAGACUGGAAUUUACGGUGUAGCGGUGAAAUGCGCAGAUAUCGGGAAGAACACCCGUGGCGAAGGCGGUUCUCUGGGACGGUACUGACGCUGAGACGCGAAAGCGUGGGGAGCGAACAGG